GGCCUGGCCUGCGGCAGUGGGGUGAACCCAGCCGCCCGAGCGAGCUCCCCGACCCGGCUGGCAAACCCCUGCAGCUGCUCCCGCCGCAGGUCCACCAGAUGGAUUCCUGGAAAAUCCUGGGAAGGGCAGCCCGGCAAGCAGCCCAGCAAGCAGACCCAUUUUACAGAGUAGGCUGCUGAGACUCAAGAGAGGCAAAGAGUGGGUGGCCCGUGGCCAUACAGGGCAUCCAGACACCGAGGAAGAGCCAGGAGGCUGUCAUCAUCUGCUUCGAUGCCAAAGGCCACGAAUGGCCCCGUGGCGAUGUCCCCCCAAUACCCGCGCGCUGCGACACGCUCUCCGUGCUGGGGAAGCAGGGAGAGAAGAGGCAAGUGAGGUCAAUGUUGGAGACCCCAGUUCCUGUGUCCCCGAAAAG
Long non-coding RNA from Lutra lutra (Eurasian river otter), 412 nucleotides. RefSeq lists it as uncharacterized. The record is from RefSeq and is a predicted model, not a curated record. The transcript is spliced from 3 exons. Lineage: Eukaryota; Metazoa; Chordata; Mammalia; Carnivora; Mustelidae.